GGCUCGAUGGUCUAAGUGGUAUGAUUCUCGCUUCGGGUGGAGAGGUCCCGGUUCAAUCGGUCGAGCCC
Araneus ventricosus is the source of this 68-nucleotide non-coding RNA. The record is from the annotation of a GenBank genome assembly. Lineage: Eukaryota; Metazoa; Arthropoda; Arachnida; Araneae; Araneidae.